Molecule: RNA transcript, 1708 nt
Organism: Eucalyptus grandis
Lineage: Eukaryota; Viridiplantae; Streptophyta; Magnoliopsida; Myrtales; Myrtaceae
Exons: 2
Source: RefSeq, a predicted model, not a curated record
UUGAACUUCCCUAGAGAAGAGAGGGAGAGAAGAGAGAGAUCCGUGAGGAUGAUGAACGCGGUGGCCAUUUGCCUCGUCGUGACGUCGCUCGCGGCGGCCGGAGUCUGGUCUCCGGCGCCGGAGAAGCAGGGCAGCCACCGAAAGGACGAAGACGUGAUCUUGAAGGAGGGCCACCGAGUCGUCGUCGUCGAGUACGACCAGGACGGCCAGCCCAAUACCAAGGUCUCCAUCUCGCCGGAGCACGAACACAUCCCCAUCAAGCCCGCCUCCGUCUCCAACCUCGAGGGCGACCUCUACCGAGGCGCCAAGGACGUCCUCGAACGCUCCAAGGACAAGGUGAAGGAGGCCGCCUCGUCGGUUGCACCGGAGCGGAAGGAAGACGAUGGCGGCUACAGGUACAUCGGCGCGAAGGAGCUGAUAUGCGAUGCAUUUGGCAAGUGUAGGCACAGGAUCGCGAGCGGCUGGGGAAGGCCAAGGAGGAGGUAACCGAGAAGGUCUACGAGGUCGAGGAAGACGCGAGGCAGGCGAAGGAUGCGGCGGAGGAGAAGCUGCGGAGGGCUGGGGAGGCGGUGGCGCGGAAGGCGCAUGAGGCCGGGGAGAAGACGAGGGAGGCGGCGCACGAGGCUGGGGAGAAGACGAGGGAGACGUUCGAGAGCACGCGGGGUGCCAUGCAGCACGCCAAGGAGGAAGGGAAGACCAUGGUCGAGGACGUCCAGAGGAACGUGUCGGAGGCGGCCGGGGCAGCGAAGGAGCGGGCCAAGGAGAAGGCCGAGGAAGCAAAGGAGGCAGCAAGGGACGUCGGCUCGAGGCUGCACAGGCUCAAGGAGGCGGUGAGGAGGCACGUGGCCUCGCGAUUCGACGGGAGGACGCUGGCGGGGCUGGUGCACCUGCUGGGGUUCGCGACGGCGUACGGGACGUGCGUGUGGGUCACGUUCGUGUCGAGCUACGUGCUCGCGGGGGCGAUGCCGAGGCAGCAGUUCGGGAUGGUGCAGAGCAAGGUGUACCCGGUGUACUUCAGGGCCAUGUUUACCAGCAUCGCCCUGAGCCUGCUGGGGCAUUUGCUGGGCCAGGGGCGGCACCUGUUCGCGAACAAGCCGGAGAUGCUGCAGGGCUUGAACCUGCUGGCCUCGCUUCCUUUGGUCCUGGCCAAUAUGCUCUACUUGGAGCCUCGUGCCACUAAGAUAAUGUUCGAGAAGAUGAAGCUGGAGAAGGAAGAGGGCAGAGGGAGAGAGCCCACUGAGACGACCCGCGUGACCGAGCCAAGGCCUACGCCAGGUGAGACCGCAGCGCUGGUACAGGAGGACAGGGAAGGAGACGCCCUCAGAGCCCGGGUCACGAGAUUGAACGAGAGGCUGAGGAAGCUGAACUCACAUUCGUCGCUCCUCAACAUCGCGACACUGAUGGCCCUCACUUGGCAUCUGGUGUAUCUGGCGCAGCGCAUCUCGACGCCGUGCUGAUGCAAGCCGAGCUCGAGAAGAUUUCAAUGUGUGGUACAGUGUAAGAGUGCUUAGCUUGCUUCUGGUUCAUCUGUGUAUAUACGCCUUUAUAUAGUUCUGCUUUGUAAUAGGGACCAAGUGCUCUUAUGCUUACCAUUGUUGAGUCUUGACGCCUAGGAUUCUUAGGUUGAAUGUGCUGCCUCUAUGGAAGUGCUUUGCUACUCAGUGUGCUACCACAUAAAUGAAAUAUAUAUGAUAUGGUAGAUUUUCUA